RNAcentral lists this ribosomal RNA (492 nucleotides) under uncultured bacterium. RNAcentral's name for it is "partial 16S ribosomal RNA". It matches the Rfam family "Bacterial small subunit ribosomal RNA", at positions 29 to 507 of the family's 1533-position model. The record is from RNAcentral.
AGUGAACGCUGGCGGUAGGCCUAACACAUGCAAGUCGAACGGCAGCACAGUAAGAGCUUGCUCUUACGGGUGGCGAGUGGCGGGCGGGUGAGGAAUACAUCGGAAUCUACUUUUUCGUGGGGGAUAACGUAGGGAAACUUACGCUAAUACCGCAUACGACCUACGGGUGAAAGCAGGGGAUCUUCGGACCUUGCGCGAUUGAAUGAGCCGAUGUCGGAUUAGCUAGUUGGCGGGGUAAAGGCCCACCAAGGCGACGAUCCGUAGCUGGUCUGAGAGGAUGAUCAGCCACGCUGGAACUGAGACACGGUCCAGACUCCUACGGGAGGCAGCAGUGGGGAAUAUUGGACAAUGGGCGCAAGCCUGAUCCAGCCAUACCGCGUGGGUGAAGAAGGCCUUCGGGUUGUAAAGCCCUUUUGUUGGGAAAGAAAAGCAGCAGGUUAAUACCCCGCUGUUCUGACGGUACCCAAAGAAUAAGCACCGGCUAACUUCGUG